GCAAUGUUGAACUGCGAGUUUAUAUUGUUUAUCCUGGCAUAAUCUAGCCCAGCGUGUUCACUUCUUUCCCUGGAAAUCCUUCCAGAAGCAUACUCAGUAGCAACAGCCAAAUGCUGCCCCCUUGUCUCGGGCCCACGGGUAUCACUGGUCAGCACACAGCAUUUGCCCUGCAACAUUAUCUUCUGCUCUUCUCCACAAACAAGGACUGAGCAGCAUGAAGAAGAUGACAAUAGAUGGACACGGCAUGUGUCCUGCCCCUUGUAGGCAGUAGGACAAGGUGCCAAAGUGAGGCUGUAGUCUAGCACCAGUGAAUGGCUUUAAAGAAAAGCAAAUGUCCUCUCAUUCAAAAUUUAGUUUGAAGAAAGUGUGUUGCACACUUGGCUACUCCUGUUCUAUUUGAACAAAUUGCAGAAACUCACUACCAACCAAAGAAGUUUCAUGUGGGACUUUAGAAAACAUGUUCACUCUUAAUUCUUAUUUUCAAGUAUUUUAAGUAUCUAUUUUCAUUUGCAAAUAUGAAGGGAAAGAGUAGCAAGAAUACAAUCUUUUUUCAUGUAAACAUACAGCAUUUUUAUUGUGGAGAAAAUUAAACACUUCACAUUGUCCUGGUACACACAUGUACAAGCAUUGCAUAUAUCUUUUUUUCAACUUAUACUGUCUUGCAUAACCAGUUUCUAGUAUCUGUUUUAACAAACCUAUGCUUCAGAGUGCCACAGUGACAUAUCUUUCUACAAUUAGUGCUUGUUUGUAUCUUUCAAGUGGUAUUUAAUGAGUUUAUUUCCUUUUCAUCUAAGCAUUUAAAAUAACUGGCUGGGUCAUUUUAAUUUACAAAUCGCAGACAAGGUUUGAAUCAUUUCCUCUAAUUGUUUUCUUUUAUCAUGUGUUUCUUGAGAUACAAUUUAAGAUAGCCAGAACAAUGACAUUCUCAUGUAGUUUUCCGUAUAUUCAACACCUUCCUGGAUAGACAAAUCUGUGUUCAGCCUCGUCCCUCCAGUAGAUGUCAUCGUGACAAUGGAAAAUAUUGCUGGGGAUGCUCAUGAUGAGAUGUCCUGUGCCAAGGGAGGAGAAAAGCUUUGCUUCAGUAGACUUUGUUUCUAUCGAGAUGAUAGUUCUCUGAGUGGUUAGCAUUUAGAGCGAGCACUUCACUUUUAUAAUGCUUCCAAAAGCGUGGUGACUAGCAAAACACGGUCAUCAGUCAGGUCACAGGGCUGUGGUUUAUGGCAGUGGUGUUAUACACUCAGAAGGUCACAAAUACAGAUAUAUAUGUGCAGACAUGCACACGCAAUACUCAGUCAACUGCUUGGGUUUUUUAUUCCAGCUAUAUGGCUUCGUUCAUUUGGCAUCCCUUGCUCAAAGCCAUCAUAUGCUUUCUCUUAUAUAUAUAUAUAUAUAUAUAUUCUUUCCCCCUACAUCCUCCUUAAAAGUAAUUGCUCCAAAGGAAAACUCAAAUCCUCCUACUUCAUUUCUACCACGAAUGAAUCUCUGCACCUGUCAGCCCCUGACCUGCUGGGCGCCCUGUCCAUUUUAAGAUUCACAGCUUCUUGAGUGAGUGAUGUGUCUUACUAUGGUUAUUUAGCAGUGAGUAAAUCCACAGCCCUACAAUAUAACUGGUCAUAAUUUUAAUCUGUCAAACAUAGAGCAAGUCUCCAGAAAAGGCAAGAGACAGGUCAGUCACUGGCAGUGACAUGCACAAGGGCUGCAAAGCUGGAACACACACAAAGAGAAAAGAAUUAGAAAAAUGUGUUGAAAAUGCGUUUAGCUAUUAUCAAAUGUUGGUCUGAUUUUCUCAGGCAAUAGCAUCUAAGAUCAUGAAGUCUUGGCAUAGGAAAAUGGCACCUUUUCCCCCCUUGGAAGUCCCAGCAGUUUGAUUGCAUAUGUGAUACGUAUUUAAUAUGUGUGGUCCCUUUUUAAAGUUAGACAAUGCUACGCUCAUGUUCUGUGUGACAGAGUGAUAUUAUGGUAAGAUGCCUUCAGAUAAAACGGAGCACAAGCUGAGCCACGUGAAGCAAGAAGGCUGCUGGGCUGAAAUGCAACUUUCUAAAAAUCAACAGGGUGCAGCAAUAUCAAACACCAAGCCCACAAUUUGAAUGUUCUCUCUUCUCUAGAUAAUAGCCCUAUAAAUAAUAAGUUUUUCUACUUUAAAAUGUCAGGCUUUGAGGAAGUACAUAGCAAGAAACCAGGGCAUUAAUGGGCCGAUUAACUUAAGAGUUUGCUUCCCCACCUCUGAGAUCAGCAUUGUUAGUUCUGGGAAAAAUGACCAAAUUAUUAAACCAAAUCUGUGACCUCCUACACUAAGAGGAAAGCAAGCCUCACUGGCAAGAUCUUUUUAUUGUUCACAUUCUUAAAAAAAUAAAAAGUUGCGGAAAUUUUCUCCUUGACUAAGUAGAAAGGCUCUCUGCUGCGAGGAAAAUGUUUAGUCAAAAUAAACAGCUGAUGCUCUUGUCCAAGCAAGAACAGAAACCUGGUCUGACUGUCUGAGUAAGUGAAACCAUCUCUUAAAAUAGCAGAAAAACCCCAUAAGCAUCUAUAAAGAUAAAUGGAGAGGGAGGAAUGCGGAGACUUGUUUAAGUUUGGGCGCUGUCAAAGUAGUAUGGAGCUGGCAAAGAAAGGGGGUCCUAGUCCUCAGGAAACUUUGUAUAUUUUAUUACCAGAAUUAAUAUAAAAGAAAACAGUAAAAAAAAAAAAACUCUAAACAAACACAGUAACAUUGUAAGGACUGCGAUGGUGUAGGUAUUAACUAUAAAAGCAGAAGUCAGAAAAGGUAGCAGAAGUCAUUACCUCAUGGCUAGUUUGCAUUUUUGCUUCAAGCGUGGGGCUUCUUUGUUACACUUAUACUCCUAUUUAAGAAUACAUACAUUCCCAUUAUCAGUGAUCCCAUUCUAAAAGCAUUCCGUAUUACUGUAAUUUAGCACUUGAAGUUUCACUUAAGUCUUAAAAUAUUCAGUCUGUAACUUGUUACUUUAGGAGGAGAGGAUAAGUGCUGCUGAUAAAAGCCCAAAAGAUCACAAAGAGCUCUCACUCAGUUCUCUGCAUCUGCCUUAAAGCUGGAUCAAAUAUAUCUGAACCGUUUGUAAAAGCUGAUGGUAAUUCCACAUUUUCUUCCCACAAUCUGCUCCAGGUGCAGAACUGUCUGCACAGCUAGGGCAGGACUUCCCCGCAGCUACCUUCUGCCUCCCUUGCUGCAGCUUAGCCCUGUGAUAUGUUACCCUAUCUACUCUAUAACAAAUAUUACCUAAUAGUACCACACCACCCUCCUCAUCAGCACUGUGAGGAGGAAGCAGUAAGCUCAGCCCUCAUGCGAACUGAGCAUCACCACAGCAGCUCUGCCCCAGCCUGGUCCUGGGGACAGGCAUUAGGUGGGACACAACUGAGUUCACUCCCUGGGAGCGGCAUAGGGCCUAUGACUCACAUCUGACCAUCAGCAUCUCCUGAGAAGAGCACACAGCUGACAGCCCUCAGGAACCCAGCUGUUCAUCUUCCUAUAGGCAGGCAGCAAGGCAAUGCAUAUGCACAUUCCCUGUACUGUCAACGUGCUCAGGCAUGCAUGGGUUGGGAGGGAAAUUUUCUGUAAAAAUAACAAUUAGCAAAUAUCUGAACAACCACAAAAGUGCAGGAAUCCUCAAAUUGCCUUGCAUCAUUUUUUCUCCUGCUCUUUCUCCCUUUCCUUUCACAGCACCUCCACCAGCCCUUCCUGCUCCUCAUUUAUGCAGCGAGAAGGAGCCCCACGCAGGCACCACAAACAGUUGUGGUUGGGAAGAGGAAAUCCAGCUCAGCUGUGAUAAUUAGAAUAGCUUUGAUACUUUAAUUGAGCUGCUAAUACCAGUGCAGGGAUGUUGCAUAAAAGCCUGGUGGCUGUCAGCCUCUUCUUUAGUCCUGCUUACAGAGAGGGCUGUGGGGUGUGUGUUCUGGGAUGGGUGUCUACACCUUCCUUCCAGUUUUCCCUCUGUUUACAAGUAGAGCCCCCUCUGACUCCAUCACAGUGUUGUGCAGUUGCUUGUGUGUCCUCUGAGAGCGAGCAACUCUGUGCAUUUCUUCUCUUCCUUUUUCUUAUCUCAAGAGCUGGUUUCUACAACUCUGGCCUGCACGGGCCCUGCUAUAAGGUCUGUGCCAGUCCCCUCAAGCAGUUAAUCUUAGUAGUGAAUGUAGUUACAAACCUGCCUAUGCACUUCUAGCUUCUGCCUGGUGCAGUGUGUUCUCAGGGAAGCGUGAGGAAGAAGUAAUGGGCUUCUUUUCUUCAGCUUUUAACGUGUCUUGGUUACUGGAACUGUUUUCAAGGAGGAUGUCACACCAGGAGCCUCCAGAGUGCUGUGCAUUUGCUACCAAGCUCUUACAGCUCUACUGAUUUGAAGGAUGGCUUGGUGCUUGCUCGUGGUCCCGGUUAGAGGCUCUUUAGGAGAGCAGAGCAAGUUCUGGAUGUAGCUGACAAUGUUAGCUGAUUUUCUAAUCAAGACUAAGAUGCUCUUCAUACUGAAGUGAGCGUUGUUCUGCCCUGACGGAAAUUGGAUUGCUCUGCAAAGGUGCUACCAGCGUGCAGCCACAGCAAGGCUGGGACAGAGGGCUGAUCAAAUGCUGCUCCUGGAGUUCGGUUGGUCGCUCUCCCUGAACAGUGCCCUUCUCGAUGUCUUACAGCUACGGAUUUGGUAUCAGCUCAGAUGACUGGAAAUAUCUGCUGUUUUUUCCCAACGUCCAGAUGUGCUGUUUUUUUUAAAUGUUGAAUUGUGCUUUAAAAACAUGGUCAUAUGACAGAGAUUACAGUUGUUAAGUAUUCACUUAUCAAGGAUUUCUAUUUUUGAAGAAGCAAACAACUCCAUUAUAGCUUGCAAUCUAAAUAUAAGAGCUUAUAAGCUAAAUAUAAGAGCUUAUAAUGAAAAGCACAUACCAAAAAGUUGAGACAGGCUGAACCUUUAGAUUCCAAACUAUUUUCCCGAGCAAUGAGAAAAUUUUAUGAAAUCUAAAGGAAACUACUUCCUGGAAAAACUCUGUCUAAAACAACGCUGAGCUGCCCUGACUGCUGGGGUAGUGGAACAAACGUUUGGAGGCUUUGUAGCCCCCCCCCAUUAGAGGAAAAUUUGAAAUAGAUUUUUAAUGAGGUGGGAAAAGCUGCCACUAGCAUAAGGCUAGAAGGGUGUAGAUGGCACGUGCCUCUGUGCACAGAAUUAUCAAGCGUUACUGAGGAGAAGAUGUACUGCAGUUCGGAGCAUUUAGAGUAUUUAAGGCUUAAGUCACAAGGAUGCCUGAAGCACUACAGUGAUUUAAGUAGAAGUAUUAAAAUCUGUUGAAUGAAUACCAGCUGAACUGUCUUCUUUCGAUAACGCGACUUGAAGUUGCAGAACUGUCAGUGUAUCUCAUAUGCUGCUUGUGAAUUGCUUGCCUUUUAUUUGUGUGUGAUUCAUUACUUUUACUAAUUAUUAGAGCUGUAACGCGUCAGUAUCAUUAAUAACUAAUCACAGCGUGACCUCACCACAUCUCCUGCAACUAACAGGGUCACUCGGCAUGUCAUCUGUGUCACAACCCCCAUCAGCACUGCAAUGUAAUGUUCCCAGCAGUACCCAUUCUCCCUCCUGAUGCUGUGCACAUGCCAGGUCUGAGAAUAUAGGCUAAUAAAUUGGGUUUUAAACUCCUUUUCGAUUGCUGCAUCGCACGCUGCUCCCAGAUCUGCAGGACUGAGCAUGAAACCAGGUCUGGAAACAGAAUCGUGUUUUUAAAACAGGCUUUUCUUUUUUUUCCACUUGGUUAUCUUCAUGUUGAAUUGAAUCAGUUUGGCUGUUCAGGUAAUUGUUUGGUCACAGAAACCAUGAGGGUCUUACGAAUAGGUGGAAGUGUUCUGGCGGGAUUUGCCUACAUCUGCACUGUUGGUGGCAGAAGGUUGUGGAAAAGCAAAGAAACUCUGUUACUUAAUGACAAAUAGAAGGGAAAAAGAGCAUUAAGCACUCUGGCUCUGAUUCAGAUGUUCUUUCUAAGAUUAAAAAAAACCCCACACUUAACAUUCUAUUUAGUUGUUCCUGAGAUUGUCAUUUAAUUGUCUCUUCAUCGUGCUGUAGUACAAUACCAAAGCUCCCUCACACCUUUGUUGGAAUGAAUACCAUCUCUCUUUUCAGACCUUUCUACCCAGUGUUGUAGAAACUGAUGCCAGAAUGAAUUUAGACCAUAAAAACAGUAGGAGUAAUACAAAGAGAAAUGAGUUAAGAAAGGCAUUUAUGUUC
Numida meleagris (helmeted guineafowl) is the source of this 6203-nucleotide long non-coding RNA. RefSeq lists it as uncharacterized. NCBI's taxonomy places the organism in Eukaryota, Metazoa, Chordata, Aves, Galliformes, Numididae. The record is from RefSeq and is a predicted model, not a curated record. The transcript is spliced from 2 exons.